CCCAAACAAGGUAACAGGAAAACCUGGAGACAACAUAAAUGCCUACCAAGGAGAGGAUGGAGAAACCAAUUGCAGCUUAUUCAUGUGAUGGAUACUACCCAGCAUCAACAAAAAAAGUAUUUCCUGUGAAGAUAUAAUAGCCUUGAGUGGAGUUUUUAACCACUGGAAAG
Molecule: long non-coding RNA, 170 nt
Organism: Neogale vison (American mink)
Lineage: Eukaryota; Metazoa; Chordata; Mammalia; Carnivora; Mustelidae
Exons: 3
Source: RefSeq, a predicted model, not a curated record